RNAcentral lists this ribosomal RNA (253 nucleotides) under uncultured bacterium. RNAcentral describes it as "partial 16S ribosomal RNA". It matches the Rfam family "Bacterial small subunit ribosomal RNA", at positions 524 to 776 of the family's 1533-position model. The record is from RNAcentral.
UACGGGGGGGGCAAGCGUUGUUCGGAAUUACUGGGCGUAAAGGGCUCGUAGGCGGCCAACUAAGUCAGACGUGAAAUCCCUCGGCUUAACCGGGGAACUGCGUCUGAUACUGGAUGGCUUGAGGUUGGGAGAGGGAUGCGGAAUUCCAGGUGUAGCGGUGAAAUGCGUAGAUAUCGGAAGGAACAUCAGUGGCGAAAGCGACUUCCUGGACCAAUACUGACGCUCAUGUGCGAAAGCGUGGGGAGCAAACAGG